GAUCAUGGCUCAGGAUGAACGCUAGCUACAGGCUUAACACAUGCAAGUCGAGGGGAAACGACAUCGAAAGCUUACUUUUGAUGGGCGUCGACCGGCGCACGGGUGAGUAACGCGUAUCCAACCUGCCCAUCACUUGGGAAUAACCUUGCGAAAGUAAGACUAAUGCCCAAUGACAUCCCACGAAGGCAUCCGAAUGGGAUUAAAGAUUUAUCGGUGAUGGAUGGGGAUGCGUCUGAUUAG
This 240-nucleotide ribosomal RNA is filed under the name uncultured bacterium. Its description in RNAcentral is "partial 16S ribosomal RNA". It matches the Rfam family "Bacterial small subunit ribosomal RNA", at positions 15 to 244 of the family's 1533-position model. The record is from RNAcentral.